RNAcentral lists this ribosomal RNA (526 nucleotides) under Staphylococcus sp. Its description in RNAcentral is "bacterial SSU rRNA". It matches the Rfam family "Bacterial small subunit ribosomal RNA", at positions 285 to 803 of the family's 1533-position model. The record is from RNAcentral. Lineage: Bacteria; Bacillati; Bacillota; Bacilli; Caryophanales; Staphylococcaceae.
AGCCGACCUGAGAGGGUGAUCGGCCACACUGGAACUGAGACACGGUCCAGACUCCUACGGGAGGCAGCAGUAGGGAAUCUUCCGCAAUGGGCGAAAGCCUGACGGAGCAACGCCGCGUGAGUGAUGAAGGGUUUCGGCUCGUAAAACUCUGUUAUUAGGGAAGAACAAAUGUGUAAGUAACUGUGCACGUCUUGACGGUACCUAAUCAGAAAGCCACGGCUAACUACGUGCCAGCAGCCGCGGUAAUACGUAGGUGGCAAGCGUUAUCCGGAAUUAUUGGGCGUAAAGCGCGCGUAGGCGGUUUCUUAAGUCUGAUGUGAAAGCCCACGGCUCAACCGUGGAGGGUCAUUGGAAACUGGGAAACUUGAGUGCAGAAGAGGAAAGUGGAAUUCCAUGUGUAGCGGUGAAAUGCGCAGAGAUAUGGAGGAACACCAGUGGCGAAGGCGACUUUCUGGUCUGUAACUGACGCUGAUGUGCGAAAGCGUGGGGAUCAAACAGGAUUAGAUACCCUGGUAGUCCACGCCGU